CUUUGCGGUAUAGUCUCAUUUCUCUCUUAAAAGGUGUAGGAUUAUCUCAGAAGCUAAGCAGGGUUGGGCCUGGUUAGUACUUGGAUGGGAGACCACCUAGGAAGACCAGGUGCUGUAGAUG
This 121-nucleotide ribosomal RNA is filed under the name Pteropus vampyrus (large flying fox). The record is from RNAcentral. Lineage: Eukaryota; Metazoa; Chordata; Mammalia; Chiroptera; Pteropodidae.